GAACGAGACCUUCGGGUCUAGUGGCGCACGGGUGCGUAACGCGUGGGAAUCUGCCCAAAGGUACGGAAUAACUCUCCGAAAGGGGUGCUAAUACCGUAUGAUGUCGCAAGACCAAAGAUUUAUCGCCUUUGGAUGAGCCCGCGUAAGAUUAGGUAGUUGGUGGGGUAAAGGCCUACCAAGCCGACGAUCUUGAGCUGGUCUGAGAGGAUGAUCAGCCACACUGGGACUGAGACACGGCCCAGACUCCUACGGGAGGCAGCAGUGGGGAAUAUUGGACAAUGGGCGAAAGCCUGAUCCAGCAAUGCCGCGUGAGUGAUGAAGGCCCUAGGGUGUAAAGCUCUUUUACCCGGGAUGAUAAUGACAGUAUCCGGGAGAAUAAGCCCCGGCUAACUCCGUG
Molecule: ribosomal RNA, 397 nt
Filed under: uncultured bacterium
Lineage: Bacteria
Description: bacterial SSU rRNA
Rfam family: Bacterial small subunit ribosomal RNA
Source: RNAcentral